Molecule: long non-coding RNA, 1476 nt
Filed under: Medicago truncatula (barrel medic)
Lineage: Eukaryota; Viridiplantae; Streptophyta; Magnoliopsida; Fabales; Fabaceae
Description: long non-coding RNA (MTRU_LNC006453)
Source: RNAcentral
CUACUCUUGGCACAUUCCCACUGUCCACUCUUGCUAAGAAUUUGAAGUGCAUGCCAAUCCAUUUUCUUAUCAAAAAGCAUAAUAGAUGCUAUAGAUCUGGAAAGAAAAUGUGUACAAAUAUUAUUGUCAGUUAAAUUGGGCAUGUUUAUCAACUUUUGUUUUAGUCAAUCAAUUAAUCUCAUUUAAAGUAAAUCAGCAUAGAAGUACAGGGCGAUAAGCAAGAAACCAUUUUCUAAAAUAUAAAUAAUGCUAAGAUUGAAUUAUUCUUAACCCUAUAGUCCUUAUAGAUACAUUUAAUCAUAUUAGCCCAUAUGAUAGCAUUGCAUCUAUAAAUAAAACACACCUUUAACAUAAUUGUACACCGAAAAGAAUAAUAAAAUCCUCUCUCCUCUUUAUUUUUGUUCUUGUUCAAUGAGUUUCGCGACACAUUUAUUAGCUCGAGCUUAUUAGCUGAAAUAUGCAAUUCUCAUUAAUCUUUUUUAUAUUUUUGUAUUGAUGAUUAUAUGUUAUAUUGUUACAAUUUCAUCGAUUAGAAUUGUUGUGCGAAUUAUAUUAUAUUAUUUUGUUACUUCAUAUGUAUCCUUGAAGGAUUAUACCUAAAAACAUGCAUAAAUGAUACUUGGUUUCAAAAGAGAUAUAUUUUCGAUUUAAAUACAAUUAUAUAUAUGGUUUUGAAAUUGUUUCAAAAGAUAUAUUUUGGAUUCAAAUAAAAGAUUUGAUUUUGAAAUUGUUUUAAAAAGGUAUAUUUUGGAUUUAAAUAAAAUUAAAUAUAUAGUUUUAAAAUUGCUUCAAACGAUAUAUAUUUUUCCCUUAAAAAAAAGAUAUAUUUUAUUUAAAAAUAUCUAAGAUGUGCACAUAAGAAGUCUAUAAAUAGAACUCACAAGGUGUGAAAAGAAACCAUAUUCUCUCUAAAGCUCUAACUUGGAUAGCAUCCGUCACUAGAGAAGGUUUGUUUGGAGACAUCGUUAUUUUGCUUUGUUUGUGAUUGUAAACGUUUCAACAACAAUAUUUACGCACUUAAAAGAGGUAACAUUCCUAUCACUGAUUUGUCACUUAUUUGCGACAAAUUUUUAUUGAUCCAAGAAAGGGAAAAUAAAUUUUAAUCAUGUUGCGUUUUGUACUCUUCCCCUUCUCCUUCUUUCUAUCUCUCUACUUGUCUUUUUUCAUGUUCUCACAAAAAAAUUCAUACCAGAGAUCAUAUUUUUAGCAUGUUUUUCUUUAUUUUGCUUUUCUCACUAUCAUUUUUGCUCCAAACACCGCAAAAAUACCAAAAUACUUCGACAACGUUGCUCGUUAAUAACAUUGGUGCCAACGACCCUUGACUAUCGUCAAAGGGUAUUUUGAUAUUUUCGUGAUGCUUAAAAGCAAAAAUGAAAGUGAGAAGGGCAAUUUUUUUACUGAACAAAAGGGCAAAAUCCCAAAUCCAUUAACUUUUAUCACUCAAGUAAUCGUAAUAUGUAUAGACUAUUACUUUUC